GGGUCGGUCGCAUAGUGGCCGAGUGCAACGGGCUGUUAACCCGUCGAGUUAAUACUCCAUCGCUGGUUCGAAUCCAGCCCGGUCCGCCA
Molecule: transfer RNA, 89 nt
Filed under: Xanthomonas phage XacN1
Lineage: Duplodnaviria; Heunggongvirae; Uroviricota; Caudoviricetes
Description: tRNA-Asn
Rfam family: tRNA
About the family: Transfer RNA (tRNA) molecules are approximately 80 nucleotides in length. Their secondary structure includes four short double-helical elements and three loops (D, anti-codon, and T loops). Further hydrogen bonds mediate the characteristic L-shaped molecular structure. tRNAs have two regions of fundamental functional importance: the anti-codon, which is responsible for specific mRNA codon recognition, and the 3' end, to which the tRNAs corresponding amino acid is attached (by aminoacyl-tRNA synthetases). tRNAs cope with the degeneracy of the genetic code in two manners: having more than one tRNA (with a specific anti-codon) for a particular amino acid; and 'wobble' base-pairing, i.e. permitting non-standard base-pairing at the 3rd anti-codon position.
Source: RNAcentral